RNAcentral lists this ribosomal RNA (368 nucleotides) under uncultured organism. Its description in RNAcentral is "bacterial SSU rRNA". It matches the Rfam family "Bacterial small subunit ribosomal RNA", at positions 526 to 896 of the family's 1533-position model. The record is from RNAcentral.
CGAAGGGUGCAAGCGUUAUCCGGAUUCAUUGGGUUUAAAGGGUGCGUAGGCGGGGUGGUAAGUCAGUGGUGAAAUCCUGCAGCUAAACUGUAGAAUUGCCAUUGAUACUGCCAUUCUUGAGUACGCUGGAUGUGGGCGGAAUGUGCCGUGUAGCGGUGAAAUGCUUAGAUAUGGCACAGAACACCGAUAGCGAAGGCAGCUCACAACGGCGAAACUGACGCUGAGGCACGAAAGCGUGGGGAUCGAACAGGAUUAGAUACCCUGGUAGUCCACGCCGUAAACGAUGAUCACUCGUCAUUGGCGAUACACUGUCAGUGACCUAGCGAAAGCGUUAAGUGAUCCACCUGGGGAGUACGGCCGCAAGGCUG